RNAcentral lists this long non-coding RNA (297 nucleotides) under Eucalyptus grandis. RNAcentral describes it as "long non-coding RNA (EGRA_LNC002841)". Lineage: Eukaryota; Viridiplantae; Streptophyta; Magnoliopsida; Myrtales; Myrtaceae. The record is from RNAcentral.
GGGCCCCGUAUUUGCUGUUGCUGCAGGUAUUGGGGUAUUGGCCUCAUGAUUCUGUGUUCAGACUUGAGACGUAUCUUCUUUGGUAGAAGCCAUGUUGGAUUUUGUUGUCUGGUGGCAAGAGGAUGUGCUGCAACUUGUUAAAGGAACUUUUUGAGUAGCUGCUCGGAGUUCCUAUUAUCACCAUCGGCAGUCGGUGUUUGCAGGUAUGAGCUCAGUAUAUUUUUGCCCUUCAUAAGACAUGCUCAUGUUGAAUGGUGUCCGUGAGUAGCACCAUUUAAUGCUGUAUGUUGGCCCGGU